CUCUUAUGGUAUUUGAUCGGUUCUGGUGAGGAACAGCCACCGGAAGUAAUGGGGAAAGAGCAGUGCAAGGCUGCCGCUGUCCCGCAACUGUGAUGAGAGGUUGACCUCUCUAAGUCAGGAUGCCCGCCGAUGUUAAGACCCAUGU
RNAcentral lists this non-coding RNA (145 nucleotides) under Oscillatoriales cyanobacterium. The record is from RNAcentral. RNAcentral also lists the same sequence under 1 other name. Lineage: Bacteria; Bacillati; Cyanobacteriota; Cyanophyceae; Oscillatoriales.